GAUGAACGCUGGCGGCGUGCUUAACACAUGCAAGUCGAACGAAGCACUUUAUUUGAUUUCCUUCGGGACUGAUUAUUUUGUGACUGAGUGGCGGACGGGUGAGUAACGCGUGGGUAACCUGCCUUGUACAGGGGGAUAACAGUUGGAAACGGCUGCUAAUACCGCAUAAGCGCACAGCAUCGCAUGAUGCAGUGUGAAAAACUCCGGUGGUAUAAGAUGGACCCGCGUUGGAUUAGCUAGUUGGUGAGGUAACGGCCCACCAAGGCGACGAUCCAUAGCCGACCUGAGAGGGUGACCGGCCACAUUGGGACUGAGACACGACCCAAACUCCUACGGGAGGCAGCAGUGGGGAAUAUUGCACAAUGGGCGAAAGCCUGAUGCAGCGACGCCGCGUGAGCGAAGAAGUAUUUCGGUAUGUAAAGCUCUAUCAGCAGGGAAGAUAAUGACGGUACCUGACUAAGAAGCACCGGCUAAAUACGUG
This 481-nucleotide ribosomal RNA is filed under the name uncultured bacterium. RNAcentral describes it as "partial 16S ribosomal RNA". It matches the Rfam family "Bacterial small subunit ribosomal RNA", at positions 28 to 507 of the family's 1533-position model. The record is from RNAcentral.